This 465-nucleotide ribosomal RNA is filed under the name uncultured bacterium. RNAcentral's name for it is "bacterial SSU rRNA". It matches the Rfam family "Bacterial small subunit ribosomal RNA", at positions 338 to 795 of the family's 1533-position model. The record is from RNAcentral.
CCUACGGGAUGCAGCAGUAGGGAAUCUUCGGCAAUGGACGAAAGUCUGACCGAGCAACGCCGCGUGAGUGAAGAAGGUUUUCGGAUCGUAAAACUCUGUUGUUAGAGAAGAACAAGUAGGAGAGUAACUGCUCUUACCUUGACGGUAUCUAACCAGAAAGCCACGGCUAACUACGUGCCAGCAGCCGCGGUAAUACGUAGGUGGCAAGCGUUGUCCGGAUUUAUUGGGCGUAAAGCGAGCGCAGGCGGUCUUUUAAGUCUGAUGUGAAAGCCCUCGGCUCAACCGAGGAAGGUCAUUGGAAACUGGAGGACUUGAGUGCAGAAGAGGAGAGUGGAAUUCCAUGUGUAGCGGUGAAAUGCGUAGAUAUUUGGAGGAACACCGGUGGCGAAGGCGGCAAUCUGGUUCACAACUGACGCUGAGGCGCGAAAGCGUGGGGAGCAAACAGGAUUAGAUACCCGUGUAGUC